UUCAGAGUCCACAGGACAUCGACCACAUGUACAGCAAGAGGCCUUACAGCUCUCCACCCAGAGAGCAUGUUAAUGUGAGUGAAGAUUAACCCAAGAAAACAACAUAUCCAGUGUUCACAGUUGUGCACUAAGCCAUGACUUUGUGUGUCUUGAUUAAGGACUAUAAUGACAGCAUGGACUAACAUGAUGUGGUCACCACAACCAGAGACGUUGGGAUCCUGAGUGAAGACGCAUCUUUCGACAGGCUUGUGGUGAGGACAUGCAAAGGAUCAACAAACAACAAAUCUUAUUUGAUAUACUUAACCAGAAUAAUUACGUUUAACAUCUGAAUGCUGUUUGAUCAAAUUUUAGGAAAGGGCUCAGCAAGCUGAACACCAUAGAAAAGUCACUAGUGACCUUCAUGUAACGUUCAUCACUCAGGAUAACGGUCUACUGCAACAUCUUGAAGUGAGUUUGAAAAUGGAAUUUAAGUCACAUAGUGUAACUAAUUUUGGUCAAAAUAUGUUAAAUGAAUGAUUUAAGUGAAACAUUUUCUGUUAGCCUAGUGUUCGUACAUUUAUUUUGAGCAUUCUCCUAAGAAAUAUAUAUAUUUACAGGCGGUCAUCACAUGAAAAGUUACAUCCUCAUGGGCAACAUCAAAGGGCAGGGUGAUCAUUUUCUUUGUGGAGGAUGAGCAGCUGGACAGAGUGCUGGGCUUCUUGACAAGCCUGGUUGAAGCACAGACAACCAGGUGUCACAAUCACGUGGCAUUUGUUAUGGAUGUGCUUCUGCCAGAGUUACCUGUUGAGGUGUGUUUUCCUUCAGUCUGGAGUCCUGAGGAGAAAUUCAGAAAAGGAAAAUCAAUAUAAAGCAGCUUUUUGAUUGGAGGACAGCUGUGGACCGAACCAACACUCUCAGGUUGUUUUGUGAAAAAUGUUCUUGGGCCUCAGAUAAAUUUCAGUGGAAGCCCUCUGGAGUCAUUUUACCAGUUCAUUACAGGUGAGAUGAACAUUUGAACACACAAGUCGGCAGACUGGUUCAUAAAGGGUUAAAGUUAUAGUCUUAACAUUUUAAGAAGUAUGCUCAUUCAACUUCAUUUCAUUUAUAAAUUUACAUCAUAAAUGGAGUGUCGGGGCCUUGUUUAACCAGUCCAUUCAGCCUCUAUCCCAGUGUAACCAGUACCCUCAGCCUGUCUGUCCUUGUAUAAUAUAUUGUACAAUAAUUGAACAUAUAUUUUUAGGAGUUCAUACGGUUCGUGUCUCAUGGUGGACUAUUUGUAUUGCUUUUUGAUCAUCUGCAUCUCUUCUGGUUGAUAAGGACACUGAUAAACUUCUCUUUUUUAAAAUAGAUAACAGGAAGUGGUUCCGUUGCUAGGUUGAGCUGUUUUUUCUCAGAUUCAUGCUUUCAUUUUGCCUCAUAGAAAAU
Molecule: long non-coding RNA, 1404 nt
Filed under: Sparus aurata (gilthead seabream)
Lineage: Eukaryota; Metazoa; Chordata; Actinopteri; Spariformes; Sparidae
Description: lncRNA (ENSSAUG00010006662.1)
Source: RNAcentral